This 372-nucleotide ribosomal RNA is filed under the name uncultured Glomeromycotina. RNAcentral's name for it is "LSU rRNA". The record is from RNAcentral. Lineage: Eukaryota; Fungi; Glomeromycota.
UUGAAAGGGAAACGAUUGAAGUCAGUCGUACCGGCGGGUAAUCAGCCUUUUGGGUGUGAUUAUGUGGAGCGUGAGGAGUUAAUCACCCUCAUCUUUGCAUAUUCGUGCACUUUGGGUGUACUUGCUCGUGUGGUAGGUUAACAUCAAUUUUGAUCGUCAUAAAAUGAUUGGGGGAAUGUAGCUUCGAUCUCGUAUUGAAGUGUUAUAGCCUUCGGUAGAUGUGAUGAUUGGGAUUGAGGAUUGCAACGGAUACCCUUCGGGGCUACCUGUCUGAUCUCUGAAAGUUGCUCUGGUGCUGAAAGCUUGCUUACGGUAUCAAAGUUGACGUUCAACAGGUUAGAACGGGUUAAAUUCGUUAAGGAUGUUGACGUA